UACUUGGUUGAUCCUGCCACUAGUCAUAUGCUUGUCUCAAAGAUUAAGCCAUGCAUUUGUAAGUAUGAACAAAUUCAGACUGUUAAACUGUGAAUGGCACAUUAAAUCAUUUAUAAUUUGUUUGAUGGUAUUUACUACUCGGAUAACCGUAGUAAUUCUAUAUCUAAUACGUGCAACAAACCCCUACUUCUCGAAGGGAUGCAUUUAUUAGAUAAAAGGUUGACACGGGCUCUGCCCAUUGCUGCAAUGAUUCAUGAUAACUCAACGGAUCGUACGACCAUCGUGCCUACCAUGGUGGUGAUGGGUGAUGGAGAAAUUAGAGCAAAGGAAGGCAGCAGGCACGCAAAUUCCCUAAUCCUGACAUGGGGAGGUAGUGACAAUAAAUAACAAUACCAGGAUCAAUGAGUCUGGUAAUUGGAAUGAGUACAAUCUAAAUCCCUUAAUGAGGAUCCAUUGGAGAGAGAGUCUGGUGCCAGCAGCCAUGGUAAUUCCAGCUCCAGUAGCGUAUAUUUAAGUUGUUGCAGUUAAAAAGCUUGAAUUUUGACUUUGGGAUUGGCCGGCCGGUCCACCUAUAGUGUGCAUUGGUCGUCUCAUCCGUUCUGUCGGCGAUGCGCUCUUAGCAUUAACUGGCCAGGUCGUUCAUCCGACGCUGUUACUUUGAAGAAAUUAGAGUUAUUAAAGCUAGCCUAUGCUCUGUAUACAUUUGUAUGGGAUAACAUUAUAGGAUUUCAGUCCUAUUACGUUGUCCUUCAGGAUCGGAGUAAUGACUAACAGGGAUAGUCGGAGGCAUUCGUAUUUCAUAGUCAGAGGUGAAAUUAUUGGAUUUAUGAAAUACGAACAACUACGAAAGUAUUUUCCAAGGAAGUUUACAUUAAUCAAGAAUGAAAGUUGGGGCUCGAAGGCGAUCAAAUACCAUCCUAGUCACAAUUAUAAACGAUGCCGACCAGGGAUCGGAGGAUGUUGCUUUUUGGACUCCACCGGCACCUUAUGAGAAAUCAAAGUUUUUGGGUUCCGAGGGUAGUAUGGUCGCAAGCCUGAAACUUAAAAGAAUUGACGGAAGGACACCACCAGGAGUGGAGCCUGUGGCUUAAUUUGACUCAACACGGGGAAACUUACUAGGUCUAGACAUAGUAAGGAUUGAUAGAAUGAGAGCUCUUUGUUGAUUCCAUGGGUGGUGGUGCAUGGACGUUCUUAGUUGGUGAAGCAAUUUUUCUGGUUAAUUCUGUUAAUGAACGAUACCAAAGCCUACUAACUAUCUAUGCGGAGGUAUCCCUUCGUGGCCAUCUUCUUAGAGGGACUACGACCCUUUAGGCUGCGGAAGUUUGAGGCAAUAACAAGUCUGUGAUGCCCUUAGAUGUUCUGGGCCGCAUGCGUGCUACACUGAUGUAUUCAAUGAGUUUAUAGCCUUGGACGACAGUCCCGGGUAAUCUUUGAAAUUUCAUCGUGAUGGGGAUAGAUCAUUGCAAUUGUUGGUCUUCAACGAGGAAUUCCUAGUAAGCGCGAGUCAUCAGCUCGCGUUGACUAUGUCCCUUCCCUUUUUACACACCACUCGUCGUUCCACUGAUUAAAUUAUCUGGUGAAAUAUUCGGAUCGCGGUGACGUGGGCGGUUCGCUGCCUGUGACAUCGUGAGAAGUCCAUUGUCGAAACCUGCACAGCAGAAUGACCCACGAAUAUUUUUAACAACUGGGGUAUCCGCA
Capsicum annuum is the source of this 1698-nucleotide non-coding RNA. Lineage: Eukaryota; Viridiplantae; Streptophyta; Magnoliopsida; Solanales; Solanaceae. The record is from Rfam.